GGAUGAGCCCGCGGCCUAUCAGCUUGUUGGUGAGGUAAUGGCCUACCAAGGCGUCGACGGGUAGCCGGCCUGAGAGGGCGACCGGCCACACUGGGACUGAGACACGGCCCAGACUCCUACGGGAGGCAGCAGUGGGGAAUAUUGCACAAUGGGCAAAAGCCUGAUGCAGCGACGCCACGUGAGGGAUGACGGCCUUCGGGUUGUAAACCUCUUUCAGCAGGGAAGAAGCGCAAGUGACGGUACCUGCAGAAGAAGCGCCGGCUAACUACGUGACAGCAGCCGCGGCCG
RNAcentral lists this ribosomal RNA (288 nucleotides) under uncultured Streptomyces sp. Its description in RNAcentral is "partial 16S ribosomal RNA". It matches the Rfam family "Bacterial small subunit ribosomal RNA", at positions 223 to 523 of the family's 1533-position model. The record is from RNAcentral. Lineage: Bacteria; Bacillati; Actinomycetota; Actinomycetes; Kitasatosporales; Streptomycetaceae.